UGUAGCUCAGUGGUGGAGCACUUGCUUCAAACGUAUGAGGACUGGGUUCGAUCCUUAGCA
This 60-nucleotide transfer RNA is filed under the name Ictidomys tridecemlineatus (thirteen-lined ground squirrel). RNAcentral's name for it is "Spermophilus tridecemlineatus (thirteen-lined ground squirrel) tRNA". It matches the Rfam family "tRNA", at positions 6 to 65 of the family's 71-position model. From Rfam's summary of the family: Transfer RNA (tRNA) molecules are approximately 80 nucleotides in length. RNAcentral also lists the same sequence under 1 other name. The record is from Rfam by way of RNAcentral. Lineage: Eukaryota; Metazoa; Chordata; Mammalia; Rodentia; Sciuridae.